Molecule: ribosomal RNA, 205 nt
Filed under: uncultured bacterium
Lineage: Bacteria
Description: partial 16S ribosomal RNA
Rfam family: Bacterial small subunit ribosomal RNA
Source: RNAcentral
UGCGUAGGCGGCUUUGCAAGUCAGAUGUGAAAGGCUACGGCUCAACCGUAGUAAGCCUUUGAAACUGGGAAACUUGAGUGCAGGAGAGGAGAGUGGAAUUCCUAGUGUAGCGGUGAAAUGCGUAGAUAUUAGGAGGAACACCAGUUGCGAAGGCGGCUCUCUGGACUGUAACUGACACUGAGGCACGAAAGCAUGGGGAGCAACA